UUUUUACUUGAGGCCAUGAUUUUUUAAGACACAAGAUUUACACUAGUUAUAAACUUCUAGUAAAUUUGCUUACAUGUAAUCAUUUUCAGAAAGAGGUACUUUGUCUUCAAAGUAAUUCUUAUAUUUUAGAAUCUUUUCAAAAGCCACAUGCUAGGCCUCUUCUGUGUCCUUUGAGCACGAAUUCUUUUUAGAUCUUAUGUUCCUGUAGACAGGCAACAUGUACUUAGUUUCCUCAAUGCCCACUAAAUGCUGGCAGGUUCUCCCUCUCCGAUUGAAAUUUUGAAAUGAGAUGUGUCCCAUUCUCAGCUUGACUGGUAGUGUGUGACACACAUUCCUUCUAAUGUAAACAUGUGAACAAAGUACAACUUCCUACUCUGACAGGUACUUCUGUCAGCGGUCACAUGCACAGUACAUAAUACAUGAAACACAUGCACCCACAGCCCUCCCAUUUAAAAAGCUUUCCUUUAAAUUACAUGAAUUUCAGGUUGUGGUAUACCCUCAACCAUCUCCUCCUAGCUCCUGUUGCUGGGUAACACAUUGGGAGUGACAGUUUUCAGGUGAAAAUAAACAAUUAGUGGAGAUGAGGAAAAGGGCAGGUUAAGGACAACUGGUCUGACUGGCUCAAAAGUCUGCAAAAGACAAACUUUUGCCACUCAGCACAAUCCCUAUAAUUUCCUGAAGUUAGGCAUGAUUUUUAUCAAUGCCUAACUUCAAUCAAUUUUUAAACUUUGUUAGGGAGCUAUUUACCCUGUUCUAGUUCAGAAGCAGAACACGUGCUAUAGAGCCCAAAACUAGUCUCAACCACAUUCAGGAAGUUUGGCACAUGGCACUUGCUUUACAGUGCAACUGCCUGUUUGUCACCUUUACAGAUUUUUAAUGCAACCUGGGAAACGGUAUAUUAGGCCCAAGUAGUCUGCACAUUACCCCAGAAAUGUCAGACCUAACACUUUAAGUAACCACACCAUCAUCCUUUUUAGCGAGAACUGAGAUGAUAGGCUGCACUUGUGCAUUUAAUACGUAUUUUGCUUAAAAGACAAGGCUACUUUUUCACAUCAUUCUCAUGUCAAGCCACAGACUUAUAAAGAACAACUGAUAGCAAUUGUUUUCUCAUUCCCUCAGGGGCUAAUAUUCGUGUAGCUGUCUCUCUUGGUUGGCAUACACCUUGUACUGAAAAAAAGAGCCAUCUGCCUUGCUAUCUAGAAAACAUCGCUUGUCUGAUAUCCCCCUGCCAGCAAGGAAACUGCUCUGAAAAGCCACGUAUAAAGCAGAUUCACUUUUGAAACAUUAUUACACUACCAGAAUCAUACUAAGAUCAUAUACCAUAAUUCAAUUUAAAAUCAGGUCUAAAUUCAAACUUUAUCUUAAGUCUAUGUUCAUUCUGUUUAUGACUAUUCUGAAUCUGAGUGAUUCAAAUAAUAAUAUUAAUGAUACAUUUUAAAACAGAUUGGUUUUAAAAGUCCCUUUUACUCAGUAACAUGCUAUGUCCCAUGGAGGAGCUGGUACUUGAGCCAGUAAGGCUAUAGGUACUCAUUUUUAAGUGAAAAGAAAUGUACCACAGAUUUCAUGGGUUUAAUUUUUCAUUUAUUAUGAGAAGACCAACUUCAAAUUUCUAAGUUAUUCAGAGUUUACUAUAAUCUGUAAUGUUUUAUUAAUUUACAAUUCUUCACAAUCAGCUUUGGUAGCAACAUAAAUUAAGACCUGAAAAAACAUUUGAUGCUAUUCUCUCAUAUGAAAUCAUUUGCAGGACACCAGGUGGCUUCAGUGUUUGAAUGUCUGCCUUUGACUCAGGGCGUGAUCCCAGAGUCCCAGGAUCAAGUCCCACAUCGGGUUUCCUGAAUGGAGCCUGCUUCUCCCUCUGCCUGUGUGUGUGUGUGUGUGUGUGUCUCAUGAAUAAAUAAAAUAUUUUAAAAAAUAAAAUAAAUUAUUGGCUUCAGUAGGAGAUGUAAAAAAGAUUAAGACUAAAUGUUGGUCUCAGAAAGCUGUUCCAUAAUUGAGAAACUUUGAUUUCCUUUUCCACUGGACCAGAAGACCCUAUAUGCCAAGGUUUGGCAAGCUCUUCCUGUAACAUCCAGAUAGUAAAUAUUUUUGGGUCUUGCAAAUCAUAAAAUUUCUGUCACAUCUAUUCAACUCUGCCAUUGUAGAAUGAAAACAGCCAUAGACAAUACAUAAACAACUGAGCAUCGCUGCGUUUCAAUAAAACUUUAUUUACCUUAUUAAAGAGGCAGCAGGAAGCAGCACAGAGAGAGCAAGGAGGUUUAACAAUCUGGACAACACAAUUUCCCAAUAUUAAACAGACUUCUUGACUCUUAUAUGUGAAACAGGGAGCAACAUUUAUAUUGUUUAGUAGCUAUCAAAUUUAAGUGUAAAAGCCAACUUUUAUUCAGCUCUUGCAUGUGUCAAGCACUGAUUGUAAGUGCUUUACAUUAAUUGCUCACUCAAUUCCCAUAACAACCCAGAAAAAUCUGAAAUAAGGUGUUUAGACAUAAAUGAGACGCCAGGUCAUAUCAUGCUGCAUUUCACUUUCACUAGAAGAAAUCUUGAAUAAAAGGGAAGGUAUAUAUGGAAAGGCCCAAAUGGCACAUGCUUUGGAUUCAAAUAACAGACUCUACAAGUCCUCAAGAGUUCUCAGUGUAGUUGUCUGCUAUUACUCUCACUGGUUAGCCCUUUAGCUCCACCAUCCCAUAACCCAAACCUUUCCAUGACAACUUUAUAUCUCAAAUUAUCAAUUUAACUCAAUGCCCUCUAACCUAUGCUGCCUGUUGUUCUUCAAUACCAUCAAAACUGGGUGGAAAUAUGGUAGUAAAGAUAUCAGAUUUGCAAUCCCCCUGAUAAAAUUUGGAACUGAAAUGCUUCCUACAAAAUUUUUAAAUGUUUAAACAGUAGCCUAGCAGGAAGACGAGUAACUUUGAUGUCAAUAGCAGAUACACAGAACAUUCUUUCAGGAAAGCAGCUUAGGAACACUUUCUUCUCUCAGUAAUGCCUAAAAAUGAUCAGCCUUAUAGAAGUGAUUCAGAAAUAUUUAACUAAAUUUUACAUAUUUUAUCUGUUUCAUACUUUUUUUUUUUACUCACAGAUGCCCUUAUUAUUAAGUUUACUUUUAGUUGAGGAUAACAAUAUACUUGCAAAAAUGUGACAGGACUCCUUCCUGCUGCAGAUCAUUUUCUCUUAGAAUUAUCACUUAGCUAGUGACAACAGAUCUGAUGAUGUGAUAGUAUCACUGUUUAAUGGUCUUUCUGCAAUGUUCAUCCUCAAAGGGAAUAUUGUUAGCAGCAGCAUCCAAUAAAUAGAAAUUUAACCAUGUUCUAGUUAUUCUAAUUUUCCAAGAAAAAAACAUUUUCCUAUCUACUCUUUUUAUGCUGUAAUAAUAGUGUACAUUAAAAGUAAAGUAAAUAAAACCUAAUCAUCAUCAUCCAAACAAUGUAAUGAUUUCCCAGGAGGUACAUGACUCAAUUACCCAACUUUAUAGUUAAUGGGAGUGAUAUUAAAUUCAAAGAACAGCAAGGAAGUAGGCAGUUAAACAAGUCAAAGGGCUGUUAAAAUAUAAUGGUCUAGAACAGGGGUUGGCAGACUAUGCCCCAUGACCCAUAUCUGCCCGCUCUCUCUCCCCAAUUUGCCUGUUUUCAUAAAUAAUAUUUUAUUGGAACACAGCCAUGUCUGUUCAUUUACAUAAUGUUGAUUUUAUGUUCCAACAACAAAUGUGAAUCAUUGUGGCAAACAUCAUAUGUCCUGCAGAGUCUAAAAUAUUUACUUUUGGCCCUUUCCAAGAAAAGAAUGAAAACCUCUAGUCUAGACAAGGGAUCCAAGAACACAGACUAUGGAAAGUAAUUACAAAGAAAACAGGGGCAUGAAUGCAGUUCUACAAAUGACAAGUUUAGGAUAGAUGAAAAGCCAGUCGUGGCAUCUGUGAUUCUGUGGUAUAAGGUGAAAAAAUUCAUCAACACAGGACCCAGAAUAAUGCACUGUAAGCACGAGCUGGUUUGAAAUACAGCCCCAAAGGUGAGCAGCUAGAGAAUGCAAACAUGCAAAGUAAUUCUUGACUUCUUUACCCCAUCUACGUAGAGCAUACACAUAAAGAUCGAGAGCAUAUGAAAUUACAACUAUAAAAAAGGUUCAUUUUAAAUAACGUGUCCACCCAAAAAACAAACCAGAAGACAAAUGGCAAACCAGGAUAUAACAAUUCAUUUCCUGAGGGGAUAAUAUUCCUUUCUCUUUAAAAAUCCAGAAAGUGGGGAUCCCUAGGUGGCUCAGCGGUUUGGUGCCUGCCUUCGGCCCAGGGCAUGAUCCUGGAGUCCCACGUGGGACUCCCUGCAUGGAGCCUGCUUCUCCCCUGUCUGUGUCUCUGCCUCUCUCUCUGUGUAUCUCUCAUGAAUAAAUAAAUAAAAACUUUAAAAAGAAAAUCCAGAAAGUACCACAACCCUGGUAAGAAAAAUAGGCAAAAGACAGGAACCAACAGCUGACAGAAGAGAAAGCACAGACAUUUUAAGAUGCUCCACUAUACUCAUAAGAGGAAUGUAAAUUAAAACUACACUGAGACACUACUUUCCACCUAUCUGGCAAAAAUCCACUCUCUUGGCAAGGUUGAAAAGAAACUGAAAAAUCACCAACACUGUUGAAGUAAAAUUCCUGUAAACGGUGAAUUUUGAAACAUCUAAUAAAAUUACAUAUGCAAAAUUACACAGUACUUAUGCAGGUAUAAAAGGUGCCUGGAUGGCUCAGUCAGUUAAGCAUCUGCCUUUGGCUCAGGUCACGAUCCUGGGGUCCUGGGACCAAGUCCCAUGUCUGGCUCCCUGCUCAGUGAGGAGCCUCCUUCUCCCUCUCCCUCUGCCUGCCACUCCCCCUGCUUGUGUUCUCUGCCAAAUAAAUAAAAUCUUUAAAAAGGAGGAGAAGGAGGAAGAUCUCUCAAUGUCUAUGUACUAUUACAGAGCAAUAUCCAAGAUCUAUUGUGAAAUUUUUAAAAAGUGGUGAACAGAGAAUAUAGAAUAUUCUUUUGUAUGAGAAAUAUAAAAAAUAUGAGAAAAUAUGUAUUUAUUCUUAUUUUUACAAAAAAAUUAAAAUAAAGGAAUACUAGGAAGGAGUGAAGGGGUUGGAGAUGAAGUGAGAACUAUCUAAAGAUAACUUUUUACUUAAUUUUGACUUUUGAACCUAAAAAUGUACAUAUGUGUGUAUACAUUUGUAUAUUAUAUAUACACAUAUAUCAAUAUCUAUGUAUAUGCAGAUUCAUAAACAUACAAAGAAAAAAUGCAGAGGUAAAGAAAUGGAAAUGAGCCAAUAUUUACAAGAAAUGGGUAAAAUAUCUACAGAGAGUUGUUUCAAGAAACAUUUACACUCACUACUGUGUACAUCCUUUGUAGUAUAUACUGAAAGUACUCCUUUAAAAAAAAACGGCAAAAAUAUCUUGAACUUUAGUGGUUUUAAUAUUGUAUCAUUUUAAAACAUGAAUGUAUACUGUAAGUUAAGCAAACCAGAAUUUUCAGGAAAAGAAAAGGGAUAGAAAUAUAAAGCGAAAGAAGGGAGGAAAAAUCUGCUAACUUCAAAAUACAAACCAAACUCAAUUUCCUAGCUCUGACCAUGAAAAGAAUUCUACUCCUAUUGCAUAGCAUCCAUAUCUUGGUUUCUGAAUAUCCCAUCCCUCUAAAAGAAACCAGGGCUUCCUGGAGAGAAUGCUGGCUUCAGGUCUUAAAGUAUAAGAUAAAAAGUGACAUAUCGCAAUUGAAAAUGAAUGACAUACUUAAAGCCUUAAAGGUUUCUAACAUCAAGAGGCAUUUCCAUCACCACCUUACUCUAGCAAUCUACUCCUAUAUAAGUUACUCCAGUUCAUUUUCUGCCUUCUUCAGUUGCACUGGCUUUAGAUUUACAAUGCAGCUUUGUGGUCUUUUAUCAGCAAGGUCACAGGAAAUAAGAAUACACAAAACUUUUAUAUGCUAGUAAUGGACAAAAAAUUAAAAAUACUAUUUUCAAAUGUCCCAAAAUUAAAUACUUAAUUUACAGGCCUUAUAUGCCAAAAACUAAAAAAAAAAAAAAAAAAAAAAAAAAA
Molecule: long non-coding RNA, 6034 nt
Filed under: Canis lupus familiaris (dog)
Lineage: Eukaryota; Metazoa; Chordata; Mammalia; Carnivora; Canidae
Description: lncRNA (ENSCAFG00845015046.1)
Source: RNAcentral